AUACGGAGGAUGCGAGCGUUAUCCGGAUUUAUUGGGUUUAAAGGGAGCGUAGGUGGGAUAUUAAGUCAGCUGUGAAAGUUUGGGGCUCAACCUUAAAAUUGCAGUUGAUACUGGUUUCCUUGAGUACGGUACAGGUGGGCGGAAUUCGUGGUGUAGCGGUGAAAUGCUUAGAUAUCACGAAGAACACCGAUCGCGAAGGCAGCUCACCGGGCCGGAACUGACACUGAUGCUCGAAAGUGCGGGUAUCAAACAGGAUUAGAUACCCUGGUAGUCCGCACAGUAAACGAUGAAUACUCGCUGUUUGCGAUACACUGUAAGCGGCCAAGCGAAAGCGUUAAGUAUUCCACCUGGGGAGUACGCCGGCAGCGGUGGAACUUAAAGGAAUUGACGGGG
This 393-nucleotide ribosomal RNA is filed under the name uncultured bacterium. Its description in RNAcentral is "partial 16S ribosomal RNA". It matches the Rfam family "Bacterial small subunit ribosomal RNA", at positions 523 to 918 of the family's 1533-position model. The record is from RNAcentral.